GCAAGUCGAGGGGUAACAUAGGAAAGCUUGCUUUUCUGAUGACGACCGGCGCACGGGUGCGUAACGCGUAUACAACCUACCUUUUAGCGGGGAAUAGCCCAGGGAAACUUGGAUUAAUGCCCCAUAGUAUAUGGACUUCUCCUGAAGUUUAUAUUAAACAUUUAUGGCUAUUAGAUGGGUAUGCGUCCUAUUAGUUAGUUGGUAAGGUAACGGCUUACCAAGGCAGCGAUAGGUAGGGGUCCUGAGAGGGAGAUCCCCCACACUGGUACUGAGACACGGACCAGACUCCUACGGGAGGCAGCAGUGAGGAAUAUUGGACAAUGGGCGAGAGCCUGAUCCAGCCAUGCCGCGUGCAGGAAGACUGCCCUAUGGGUUGUAAACUGCUUUUACAGAGGAAGAAUCGCCNCUACGUGUNGUGGUUUGACGGUACUCUGCGAAUAAGGAUCGGCUAACUCCGUGCCAGCAGCCGCGGUAAUACGGAGGAUCCAAGCGUUAUCCGGAAUCAUUGGGUUUAAAGGGUCCGUAGGCGGGCAGUUAAGUCAGUGGUGAAAGUCUUCCGCUCAACGGGAGAACUGCCAUUGAUACUGAUUGUCUUGAGUUAUUAUGAAGUGGUUAGAAUGAGUAGUGUAGCGGUGAAAUGCAUAGAUAUUACUCAGAAUACCGAUUGCGAAGGCAGAUCACUAAUAAUAUACUGACGCUGAUGGACGAAAGCGUAGGUAGCGAACAGGAUUAGAUACCCUGGUAGUCUACGCCGUAAACGAUGGUUACUAGCUGUUCGG
This 779-nucleotide ribosomal RNA is filed under the name Salegentibacter sp. MED532. RNAcentral's name for it is "bacterial SSU rRNA". It matches the Rfam family "Bacterial small subunit ribosomal RNA", at positions 57 to 827 of the family's 1533-position model. Lineage: Bacteria; Pseudomonadati; Bacteroidota; Flavobacteriia; Flavobacteriales; Flavobacteriaceae. The record is from RNAcentral.